GUGCAGCAGGCGAGAAACCUCCGCAAUACACGAAAGUGUGACGGGGCCAUCCCGAGUGCCGUCCGCUGAGGACGGCUUUUCCCCAGUGUACACAGCUGGGGGAAUAAGGAGAGGGCAAGCCUGGUGUCAGCCGCCGCGGUAAUACCAGCUCUCCGAGUGGUGGGGACGCUUAUUGGGCCUAAAGCAUCCGUAGCCGGCUGGGCAAGUCCUCCGUUAAAUCCAACGAUUCAAUCGUUGGGCUGCGGGGGAUACUGUCCAGCUUGGGGGCGGGAGAGGCCGACGGUAUUCCCCGGGGUAGGGGUGAAAUCCUAUAAUCCCGGGAGGACCACCAGUGGCGAAGGCUGUCGGCUAGAACGCGCCCGACGGUGAGUGAUGAAAGCUGGGGGAGCGAACCGGAUUAGAUA
Molecule: ribosomal RNA, 404 nt
Filed under: uncultured microorganism
Description: bacterial SSU rRNA
Rfam family: Archaeal small subunit ribosomal RNA
Source: RNAcentral